Molecule: long non-coding RNA, 2974 nt
Filed under: Marmota monax (woodchuck)
Lineage: Eukaryota; Metazoa; Chordata; Mammalia; Rodentia; Sciuridae
Source: RNAcentral
UGGCAAACCACAAAAUUACCUUCAUAAUUUUUUUAAACUUUUUUAACUUCAUCCACUAGGUUUUUUUUUUUUUUUCUGCAGAAGUAUUAAAUUUAAUGUAGCAUUCAAAAAGGUAUUUCUGGGGGCUGGGGCAGUAGCUCAGUGGUAGAGUGCCUGCCUUGAAUGUAUGAAGUACUGGGUUUUAUCCUCAACAUCACAUAAAAAUGGAUAAAUAAAGAUAUUGUGUCCAUCUGCAACUAAAAAAAUAUUUUUUAAAAAGGUAUUUCUGCAUUUUCAUUCUAUGUAAUUAUUUUUAUUUAAAUAAUAGUGAUUUUUUUCUAAGUUGUAUUGCAUCAUCAGUAAUUUUGACUUUAUUGAUAAAAUUAGCAGGCUUGAUUAGGAACUUAGCUACUAUUUUUUUUAAUUAGUUUCUGUUAGUAAGUAACUUCUGAGUUAUUAGAAGUGACACAAAUUUUUAAACAUAAAACCCCUUUAGUAAGUUGAAGCUUUAGUUUUUUUUAAAAGAAUUUGUGUAAAUAUCUCCUACAGUUGGUGUCAUAGGAAGGCCAAUCUGUUAAUUGCAUGUAAAUAUAAAUUUAGUUUAUUCCUCAUAGAUUGGGUGAUUUUUAUUUUAGGGAAAAUUUCAUCAUAAGAAGGUUAUAACUAAAAUGGUGUUUUUCAAAAACCAUGUUGAAGGGAUUAUUCCUGAGGGACAAUGCACACAUAUGUCAAUCCCCCACCCCAUAUUGUCUUCAGAUGGUGUUUGGAAGGGUGAGCUUGUUAGCUCCUCUGGGAGGUUAACAGAUUACAUUAGAAUAUUCAGGACUUGAAAUGGCUCUACAGAAAAUGAGCCUUCAACACCAGGCUGAACACAGUCUUCUCCAGAUUUAUUUUUAAAACAUUUCUCCACCGACUAUACUCUCAGCAUCCCUACUUUACAAUAUCCUGGCUUACAUCUAGGGCGUAUUCUCUACAGUUUUAUCAGGUUUUAUCAAGCAGGUUGUCCCUCUUCAUUCUGCAGCUAAACCAUAGAGAGAUUCCUUGCCAGAAAUCCCAAGAGAAAUGGAAAUGAUUCUCAUGGUUCUCCUCUUUUCCCCUCAAAUGCCUUUGUUUUAUUCAGUUUUAACUUUAGUCGGAAAACCGGGAUAUGUUCUGGGUCAAUCAUUUCACAGGUUUUGUUUGACCUCGUGUUCCCUCAAGCCCCAAUUUCCACACCCCUCCCUCACCUGUGUCUCCUCACUCUCUCUCGCCCAGCCCCUUGCCUCCUUAGGACCUCUGGCUGAUAGCACUGGGCCCUCGAGAGUCCACAGGGCCUUUCUCUGUGGGAUCUAUUAUAUAAAUGGGGGCUUUCAUCCUCUCAUCCACUCCAUUAAAACUUCCAUUUUCUGGGUACAGUUGUUAGGGGAAAUCAUUUUCACAAUUUCACGUAGUGAAAGAUAGCAUAGCCUAAUGCAUUUUUUCCCGCUUUAGAAUUUUAGCAUUUUUUUUUUCAGUAGAGAAUGAGGUUUCCAAGUACAGAAUUAGAGCUGCUAAAGUAGUCAAGUUCACCUCAUCAGGAAAGGCAGGAGGUAUUUUCCAGAUUCCAUGAUUCAGACCACCUAGGAGUGACAGCUAAUCUUGUCUGAGUUGGGUACUGGGCUCGGCAUGGUUCCAGUGACAUUUUCUGCCUUGGACAACAGGACCUAAUUCCAGUAGCACAUUUCCAGUUACACUUGGAGUAUCUAAAACAGGGGUUGGAAGCUAUGGCCCAAAGCCUGUUUUUAGAAAACCCAUGAACGAAGAAUACUGUUUAAAUUCUUAUGUAGUAAAUUUGAAAAAAAUAAUAAUAUUUUGUGACAGAUGAAAACUACAGAAAAUUUAUAUCUCAGAGCCCACAAAUAAAGCUUUAUUAGAACACAGUUACUGUUAUUUGUUUACAAGUUGCCUAUGGCAGAGCUUGUGCCUUAAGAGCAGAGUUGAGUAGUAGUGACAGAGACCAUAUGGCCUUCCAAGCUUAAAAUACUUGCAAUCUGGUCCUUUAUAGAACAAGUUGGCGUACCCUAACCUAGAAGACAGGAAACACAUAAAUGGAGUUGUAGGGGCACCUCGCCACCUCCUGUUCUAGAAUAAUACUAUGUGUCUCCUAUAUUCACAUUUAUUCUACUAUGUAAAACCCCCGGGAAAAGCUAUUUUUUUAAUUUGUUUCUCGAGGCCCUAAAAUUUCUUUCUUACAUUACCAAAAUAAUCCUUGCUUCUUGUGACAAAUCAGAGUAAAGAGAUGUUUUUAAGGAAAAAAACCAAAAACCUUUCUAAACUUAUAAAAUCCUGCUAUGAGAAAUAAGCAAUGGUAGGCAUUCUUUGACUUGUGUUGCACUUAAUCAAACAGAAACAAGCAUGUAUGGAAAUGAGGUAUUGUGUGUGUUUGUUUUAAGAAGCACUAAUUGGUUAUGAAUCUGUACCCUGAAGAGUAGUCCUUAAUAGGUUAUAUAUGAACCAUCUCUUGACUAUUUCUACUAGCUUCGGGCUUGGGUAUACCAAAUUCAUGCAGCCAUUCACUUUUGGAUAUAUACACGUUCCCCCUCCGCCCCCCCCCCCAUAGUCUUCUAAUCCAGUGGUGGUAAGCACAUUACAUGCAAAUCCUUACAUAAGUGCAGCAAUGAGUCCCAAAUGAAUUGCUAGGUUGAAAGGUUUGUGCAAAUAUUAUCAUUAUUAUUAUUUACAAAAAGGCUACUUCUCUUUCUAUUAAUACAAAGAAAUACAAGGCAAAAGGUAAACACUCUUUUAAGAAUAACUAAAAGUUAAAUACAUUUCAUAACAUUUUCUUUUCUAAGAAGGAGUCAGUAUUAUAGAGAUGCCAAAUAUUUCUAUUUCUAGAAAUAUUUGUAAAUUGUGUGACCUUCUUUGAUUUAUGUGAUAUUAUCUGCUGUGAAUUUAACCUUGUUUAAAACUAUUAUUGUCAUUCCAAUUUACUAGUAUUAUUUUGCCAGAUUUAAUGUUUUUAUCCUUUUAAUCUAUC